Misgurnus anguillicaudatus (oriental weatherfish) is the source of this 849-nucleotide non-coding RNA. The record is from RefSeq and is a predicted model, not a curated record. NCBI's taxonomy places the organism in Eukaryota, Metazoa, Chordata, Actinopteri, Cypriniformes, Cobitidae.
AACCAUGUUUAGCCCAGAAUAACCUUGAAUUUAAUAAAAUGUUGUUUUUGCCAAAAUAACUUGCAAGAUGUAUGAUAUUUCAUCAGGCAUGCAAAGACACCAGUGAAUUCAAGAUGUUUGGUUUUAUUUAUCUUAUCUGAAUAUCUGCUGUCACGCAUAACAUUCAUUAUUGAUAUACAAAAUCCAGUUACAACUCCGAACCGCUAGAUGGCAGCUGCAGUACACAAACACGAGGCCAAAUCUGGCGAGAAAGAUUUCCGGUGUUUGAAAAUCAACAACACCGACCAGCGAGCAGCCAAGGGGAAAGCAAUCUUCCACACUCGUUUGGUCUUGCGUCAAAGCUGUGUGAAACUGGAUGGAAAAACUUGAGAGACCGUGCCAGAAGAAUGCUGGACAGAGUUCCAUAAAAUUCAUUAAUUUUAAAGUUCAACAUGAAUGGUGGUAGUCCACUGCAGAAGCAAGCAUUUGAAAAAACAUCAGUUCUCAGUUAUUAAAGAUGCUGUGUUGAACAACUUCCCAGCAGCAACAGAACUGGAAGUGAAGGAUGCAAUGGGGGCAUUUCAAACAGGCACCAGGGAGGACGUGGUGUAUAGAAAUUAGUACAAUUAAUAAGUUGAAGUGAACUGAAGAUAGUUUGUUAAUGUUUAGAUGUUAUUUCAUUUUUAAAAUUGUAUUUGGUUAUUUAUGCUUUUAUUUUGUUACUGUUUUUAUUCUUUUUGUUAAAAGUAGUUUUUCUUCAUUUUGUCUUAUCUGAAUUUCUAUUGUAUUAACAAUAUUUUUUUGUAAUAAAUUGCAUGAUUACAUGUUUAUGAGAACCUUUUUUAAUGGAUUAAAAAGAAUUCUUUAGCC